CUGGACUGAAGAGUCCACACUGCAGACUGGAAACUCUUAGUCUUUCAGGCUGUCUGGUCUCAGAGGAAGGCUCUACUUCUAUGGCCUCAGCUCUAUUCUCCAACCCCUCCCAUCUGAGAGUGCUGGACCUGAGCUACAAUCAUCCAGGAGUUUCAGGAGUGAAGCUGCUGUCAGCUGGACUUAAGGAUCCAAACUGGAGACUGGACACUCAUGACGGACCAUGGUGGACUGCAGUGGUUGAGACCUGGUCUGAGGAAGUGUGAGUGUGUUUAAAGUUUGAUUCAUGAGAACUCAGCUGCAUGUUACACUAGAUUUUACAUUUUCUUGACUGAAGUACGAUGAUGAAUUUCUCCAGAGUUUCAGCCAGGAUCUGUUUUUUGUCAGUGUGGCUGGAAAGAAUUCAAUCAAUCAAUUUAAAAUUCACAAACACAACAAACUAAACAAAGUAAUCCAACACAACUAAUACAUAUAUUUUAUUUACAGUCAAGCCAAUAGAAAGCUAACGUUGUUUCUUUUGUCACUGAUAUUAGAGAAGAGCGUUGUUGCCUUCAUGUACUGCUUGUAAACUCGUACUUCUGACAUAUAAGUUGAUGAGUUUUC
Perca fluviatilis (European perch) is the source of this 600-nucleotide long non-coding RNA. RefSeq lists it as uncharacterized. Lineage: Eukaryota; Metazoa; Chordata; Actinopteri; Perciformes; Percidae. The transcript has 3 exons. The record is from RefSeq and is a predicted model, not a curated record.